RNAcentral lists this ribosomal RNA (443 nucleotides) under uncultured bacterium. Its description in RNAcentral is "partial 16S ribosomal RNA". It matches the Rfam family "Bacterial small subunit ribosomal RNA", at positions 338 to 795 of the family's 1533-position model. The record is from RNAcentral.
ACUACGGGCGGCUGCAGUGGGGAAUAUUGGGCAAUGGGCGCAAGCCUGACCCAGCAACGCCGCGUGAAGGAAGAAGGCUUUCGGGUUGUAAACUUCUUUUGUCAGGGACGAAGCAAGUGACGGUACCUGACAAAUAAGCCACGGCUAACUACGUGCCAGCAGCCGCGGUAAUACGUAGGUGGCAAGCGUUAACCGGAUUUACUGGGUGUAAAGGGCGUGUAGGCGGGACUGCAAGUCAGAUGUGAAAACCACGGGCUCAACCUGUGGCCUGCAUUUGAAACUGUAGUUCUUGAGUACUGGAGAGGCAGACGGAAUUCCUAGUGUAGCGGUGAAAUGCGUAGAUAUUAGGAGGAACACCAGUGGCGAAGGCGGUCUGCUGGACAGCAACUGACGCUGAGGCGCGAAAGCGUGGGGAGCAAACAGGAUUAGAUACCCGGGUAGUC